GUUGUAAGAGGGAUGUUAUUAAUAUUAUUCAGCAGGUAUAUUUCAUGAAAAUAAGUUGGGGCAGUCAUAUGGAAAGAGUUAAGAAUAACAAGUGGGCAGCUUAAAUAUUCCCAUUGGUAGUCACAAUAUAUCAAGAGACCUAGAAGAUUUUUUGAUGCAUACAUUUCUAUAUAUACAAAUGUAUAUAUAUUAGACUAAAUUAGAUUUUGUAUAUUGAACUUGAGUCUAUUAAAGAUUUCUUUUAAGUUCUAAAGAUCUGGAAUCUUUAGGAUUAUGUUUUAGUUAACUGAGCUAUCCCAUAAAGAAAAAAAAAAUUAACUUUGCCAAGAACCUUGAACAAAGGCCAACUACAAAAGCAUGUGGCUCCAUGUAAUUUAAGAUAAUAAAUUUAGAUUUAAAUGUGCAUUCCCUAUUAUUUAAAGAUGCUUUCCCUUAAAAUAAAACAAAUAAAUUGUUGUAUCAGCUGUGUGAGCAUGUGCUGGUAACAUAUAAAAUCUUUUUUUUAAAAACCUUUGUUCAGAGAUCUGAGUCUAUCAGAAGACUUGGUUGUUUUUUUUUUAAACUGUACUUGACAUCUUGCAGUUUUUUAGUAAAUCUAUUUUUUGUUUGUUUGUUUCCUAAUAUAUAAAAUAAAAUCAUAAUAUGGUAAGUCAAUAAUUUAAAAAUUGUUUUGAUUAUGAAGACCCCAAUGAUUUGGUUAUACAGAAUAAUUGGUAAAAACAAUUGAUGGAACUGUGCCUUAUUUUUAUUGAAUUUUAGAUGCUGCCUAAGGCAAUAUUAUAGGGAGGAAAGAGAGUCAACUUUAAUGAAGUUGGUUACAUAUUCAAGUCCUGCCUCUAAUAAAUAUUGACUGUGAUACCUACCAUAGUGAUGCUGUAUGUCUCUGGGAUAGAGUGGCAAAUGACAGAGUGGUGAUUAUGGAGACCAAAAGGAAAGCUAAAGGAUAUUCUUUCACUUCCAGAAUCAGUUCUUUACAAGCAGAUGGUGUGGAGUUAUAUAAUAUGCAGUAAUGUCCUUCAAAUAUCCAGAGCUCUCUAUUAAGGACAAAAGUUACCAGAUUACUGAAGAGGGAGACUAAUUCUCAGGAUCUAAAUUGCCAUUGGGGUGUUCUAGUGGAAUUCUAGAGCUCCAAAUAUCAUUCAAUGUGUUCCUAAUCUGAGAGACAAUAAAGCAGACAGAUGUAUGCCUGGGUAAGUGCUA
This 1200-nucleotide long non-coding RNA is filed under the name Monodelphis domestica (gray short-tailed opossum). RNAcentral describes it as "lncRNA (ENSMODG00000045469.1)". The record is from RNAcentral. Lineage: Eukaryota; Metazoa; Chordata; Mammalia; Didelphimorphia; Didelphidae.